Molecule: ribosomal RNA, 402 nt
Filed under: uncultured bacterium
Lineage: Bacteria
Description: partial 16S ribosomal RNA
Rfam family: Bacterial small subunit ribosomal RNA
Source: RNAcentral
GUAGGGAAUUUUCUGCAAUGGGCGAAAGCCUGACCGAGCAACGCCGCGUGAGUGAAGAAGGCCUUCGGGUCGUAAAGAUCUGUUAUGAAGGAAGAACGUCCAUCAUAGGAAAUGAUGGUGGAGUGACGGUAAUUCAUGAGAAAGCCACAGCUCACUACGUUCCAGCAGCCGCGGUAAUACGUAGGUGGCGAGCGCUAUCCGGAAUCAUUGGGCGUAAAGAGGGAGCGAGCGGCGGAAACCAGAUGGCUAGAGUGCGGUAGAGGAUCGAGGAAUUCCAUGUGUAGCGGUGAAAUUCGUAGAUAUAUGGAAGAACACCAGUGACGAAGGCGACGAUCUGGGCCUGUACUGACGCUCAGUCCCGAAAGCGUGGGGAGCAAAUAGGAUUAGAAACCCUGGUAGUGC